Molecule: unclassified non-coding RNA, 200 nt
Filed under: soil metagenome
Description: partial contains 5.8S ribosomal RNA, internal transcribed spacer 2, and large subunit ribosomal RNA
Source: RNAcentral
UCAAUGGGAGGCAUGCCUGUCUGAGCGUCGUUUAAAACCAUGAUCUCUUCUAGAGGUCGUAUUAGGUUUCGCCUCUGCCGGCGUCUCCUCAAAGUAAUCGUGUCUCAGAGCGGACGAGAUCCAUUAGGACAGAACGUUCGAGGACCCUAAAUACUCUCUGACUUGACCUCAGAUCAGGUAGGACUACCGCCUGAACUUAA